GACGAACGCUGGCGGCGUGCCUAACACAUGCAAGUCGAGCGAAUGAAGUUCCUUCGGGAAUGGAUUUAGCGGCGGACGGGUGAGUAACACGUGGGCAACCUGCCUCAUAGAGGGGAAUAGCCUCCCGAAAGGGAGAUUAAUACCGCAUAAGAUUGUAGUACCGCAUGAUACAGCAAUUAACGGAGCAAUCUGCUAUGAGAUGGGCGCGCGGGGCAUUAGCUAGUUGGUGAGGUAAUGGCUCACCAAGGCGACGAUGCGUAGCCGACCUGGGAGGGUGAUCGGCCACAUUGGGACUGAGGCACGGCGCAGACACCUACGGGAGGCAGCGGUGGGGAAUAUGGCACAAUGGGGGAGAGCCUAAGGCGACAACGCCGUGUGAGUGAUGACGGCCUUGGGGGUGUAAAGCUCUGUCUUCAGGGACGAUGAUGACGGUACCUUAGGAGGAAGCCACGGCUAACUACGUG
This 464-nucleotide ribosomal RNA is filed under the name uncultured bacterium. RNAcentral's name for it is "partial 16S ribosomal RNA". It matches the Rfam family "Bacterial small subunit ribosomal RNA", at positions 28 to 507 of the family's 1533-position model. The record is from RNAcentral.